AGUAGCACUGAUUGCUAGUAAAAUUGAGCCUUUCUGUCACGUCUUAAGCUAUUGGAACAGUUAAUAUGGUCUAUUUAGCAAAAAGGAGCCAGCAUCAAACAGCAACUCAAAGUAGCAGCUGACAAAAGCUACUUUCCAACCACCAUUAAACUACAGAAGAAGACUCUUUGUAGGGUAUACCUAACCCUGAACCUGUUGUGGUCUUGACCUGGGCCAAAGGACAGCGGAUUACACAGUGGCUUUAUCAGGGACAUGUGACUCUGUAUAGGACUAAUGUCCUCAUAUAAUAAAACUUGCCACACACUUUAUAUUUACCCAGACUGAAGGAGCAGAUAUUGAUACAGCAGCAACACACGCCUGUCAGACAGCGGACGGCGAGGAAGAGGUGUGGCUGCGGAAGAAUAGCGGGCACCACGCCGCACACUGCGUGCAUGCACACACACACCAGCAGCACAGGACGCUUCCCGUACCUACACACACGCACAACACAUACAUAUUGGCUGAGGUGUGAUGUUGCAACAGCAAAAUGUUUACAUGCACGUGCACUGUACCUGUCAGAGAGAGCUCCGCCCAACAGCGUUCCAAGCAGGAGGCCCACCAUGAAAGCGGUUGUGCCAUAAGACAACCAUUGAGUCCAGCUGCACACUGACUGACACACAGAAAACAAUAUGUGAAUCUCUGUUUGCAACUCUUGAAGAUGAAAAAAGGUUUGAUUGUAGUCGUCUGAGACAGGAUAUUUGCUUUGUGAUCAGAGGAUCAAAAGUUUGAAUCCCCUCACGGACGAGAAAUUGAAAAAAUUAAACAGAACCUCCAAAUCUGAACACGUGAAACUGGUCAGUUGUUUUCAUUAUUAAAAAUUCCCAUAGCAAAUAAUGUAAAGUGAAUUCCAGGCUCUAACUUCUACCAAUAAACUCUACAGGUGAGGUUUUAAGUAACAUUUUAUUGCCAUGAAGUACGUGUGUGCAAUCAUCCAUCUUCUUCCACCCACACAGGGUUCGGUCAUGGGGGCAGCAGAGAAACCCAGGCUUCCCUCACCCAGCUCCUCCCUGUCUACCUAUGCAACAUGCAUGUCACCUGAUCACAUGCUUUCCCAACUGUGUAGUUGCACUGCUGCGGUGUCCAUAACUACACAACUUGGUUUGCCAGCGACUACUUCCCAACUGGUGGAAUUCCGGUCAGCUGCUGUGUUGCUUUCUCUGACUGCAAAGAGACAGACUUGAAGAAUGCUACUCUGGCAGCUCGCAAGGUCCACAAACAGGGUUGUUAUGAAAUUGUGACAUCCUUCAUCGAGGGCAAAAUGGGAAUCAUCGCCGGGGUCACCUUUGGGAUCGCCUUCUCCCAGCUGAUCGGUAUGUCUUUGGCCUGCUGCCUGUCUCACUUCAUUCACACCAACCAGUACGAGAUGGUCUGAGGUGGUAUCGGUGUUUCCCCACAGAAACCUGCGGAAUCGCAUUCAGCAUUGUGCAAAACAUUCCCCUCGCGGGGGUAUGCUGGAACCUAUCCCAAUAUAUAUAUA
Dunckerocampus dactyliophorus (ringed pipefish) is the source of this 1516-nucleotide long non-coding RNA. RefSeq lists it as uncharacterized. Lineage: Eukaryota; Metazoa; Chordata; Actinopteri; Syngnathiformes; Syngnathidae. The transcript is spliced from 3 exons. The record is from RefSeq and is a predicted model, not a curated record.